UACAGAGACUGCAAGCGUUAUUCGGAUUCACUGGGCGUAAAGGGUGCGCAGGCGGCCAAGUGUGUUAGGCGUGAAAGCCCGGGGCUUAACCCCGGAAUUGCACCUAAAACUACAUGGCUAGAGCAUUGGAGAGGUAGCGGAAUUCACGGUGUAGCAGUGAAAUGCGUAGAUAUCGUGAGGAACACCAGAGGCGAAGGCGGCUACCUGGACAAUUGCUGACGCUCAGGCACGAAAGCCGUGGGGAGCAAAAGGG
This 253-nucleotide ribosomal RNA is filed under the name uncultured bacterium. Its description in RNAcentral is "partial 16S ribosomal RNA". It matches the Rfam family "Bacterial small subunit ribosomal RNA", at positions 524 to 776 of the family's 1533-position model. The record is from RNAcentral.